Molecule: ribosomal RNA, 246 nt
Filed under: Listeria monocytogenes
Lineage: Bacteria; Bacillati; Bacillota; Bacilli; Caryophanales; Listeriaceae
Description: partial 16S ribosomal RNA
Rfam family: Bacterial small subunit ribosomal RNA
Source: RNAcentral
UAUUUUAAAGAGAGUUUGAUCCUGGCUCAGGACGAACGCUGGCGGCGUGCCUAAUACAUGCAAGUCGAACGAACGGAGGAAGAGCUUGCUCUUCCAAAGUUAGUGGCGGACGGGUGAGGAACACGUGGGCAACCUGCCUGUAAGUUGGGGAUAACUCCGGGAAACCGGGGCUAAUACCGAAUGAUAGAAUGGGGCGGAUGGCACGGUUUUGAAAGAUGGGUUCGGCUAUCGCUUACAGAUGGGCCC